Molecule: transfer RNA, 60 nt
Filed under: Apaloderma vittatum (bar-tailed trogon)
Lineage: Eukaryota; Metazoa; Chordata; Aves; Trogoniformes; Trogonidae
Rfam family: tRNA
About the family: Transfer RNA (tRNA) molecules are approximately 80 nucleotides in length.
Source: Rfam by way of RNAcentral
AUAGCUCAGUCAGUAGAGCGUAGCGCUAAUAACGCCAAGGCCACGGGUUCGAUUCAUGUU